GACGAACGCUGGCGGCGUGCUUAACACAUGCGAGUCGAGCGGUAAGGCCUUUCGGGGUACACGAGCGGCGAACGGGUGAGUAACACGUGGGUGAUCUGCCCUGCACUUCGGGAUAAGCCUGGGAAACUGGGUCUAAUACCGGAUAUGACCUCCUAUCGCAUGGUGGGUGGUGGAAAGAUUUAUCGGUGCAGGAUGGGCCCGCGGCCUAUCAGCUUGUUGGUGGGGUAAUGGCCUACCAAGGCGACGACGGGUAGCCGACCUGAGAGGGUGACCGGCCACACUGGGACUGAGACACGGCCCAGACUCCUACGGGAGGCAGCAGUGGGGAAUAUUGCACAAUGGGCGAAAGCCUGAUGCAGCGACGCCGCGUGAGGGAUGACGGCCUUCGGGUUGUAAACCUCUUUCAGCAGGGACGAAGCGCAAGUGACGGUACCUGCAGAAGAAGCACCGGCUAACUACGUG
This 462-nucleotide ribosomal RNA is filed under the name uncultured bacterium. RNAcentral's name for it is "partial 16S ribosomal RNA". It matches the Rfam family "Bacterial small subunit ribosomal RNA", at positions 28 to 507 of the family's 1533-position model. The record is from RNAcentral.